Molecule: ribosomal RNA, 301 nt
Filed under: uncultured bacterium
Lineage: Bacteria
Description: partial 16S ribosomal RNA
Rfam family: Bacterial small subunit ribosomal RNA
Source: RNAcentral
CAGUAGCCACGGUAAUACGGAGGGAGCUAGCGUUGUUCGGAAUUACUGGGCGUAAAGCGCACGUAGGCGGCUUUGUAAGUCAGAGGUGAAAGCCUGGAGCUCAACUCCAGAACUGCCUUUGAGACUGCAUCGCUUGAAUCCAGGAGAGGUGAGUGGAAUUCCGAGUGUAGAGGUGAAAUUCGUAGAUAUUCGGAAGAACACCAGUGGCGAAGGCGGCUCACUGGACUGGUAUUGACGCUGAGGUGCGAAAGCGUGGGGAGCAAACAGGAUUAGAUACCCCCGUAGUCCCUGUCUCUUAUAC